AUUGAGCGCUGGCGGAAUGCUUUACACAUGCAAGUCGAACGGUAGAGGGGGCAACCCCUCGAGAGUGGCGAACGGGUGAGUAAUAUAUCGGAACGUGCCCAGUCGUGGGGUAUAACGUAGCGAAAGUUACGCUAAUACCGCAUACGCUCUAAGGAUGAAAGCGGGGGAUCGCAAGAACUAGAGCGAUUGGAGCGGCCGAUAUCGGAGUAGGUAGUUGGUGGGGUAAAGGCUCACCAAGCCAACGAUCUGUAGCUGGUCUGAGAGGACGACCAGCCACACUGGAACUGAGACACGGUCCAGACUCCUACGGGAGGCAGCAGUGGGGAAUUUUGGACAAUGGACGCAAGUCUGAUCCAGCCAUUCCGCGUGCAGGAUGAAGGCCCUCGGGUUGUAAACUGCUUUUGUACGGAACGAAAAGGUCUCUCUUAAUACGGGGGGCUCAUGACGGUACCAUAAGAAUAAGCACCGGCUAACUACGUGCCAGCAGCCGCCGUAA
Molecule: ribosomal RNA, 496 nt
Filed under: uncultured bacterium
Lineage: Bacteria
Description: partial 16S ribosomal RNA
Rfam family: Bacterial small subunit ribosomal RNA
Source: RNAcentral